CCUACGGGAGGCUGCAGUGGGGAAUAUUGGGCAAUGGGCGCAACCCUGACGCAGCAACGCCGCGUGAAGGAAGAAGUCAUUCGGGAUGUAAACUUCUAUCGACAGGGAAGAGUAUAAGACUGUAUCUGUCGAAUACGCCACGGCAAACUACGUGCCCGCAGGCGGGGUUAUACGUAGGUGGCAAGCGUUGUCCGGAUGUACUGUGUGUAAAGGGCGUGUAGCCGGGUUGACAAGUCAGAUGUGAAAUCCUGCGGCUUAACCGAGGAACUGCAGUUGAAACUGUUGAUCUUGAGUACUGGAGAGGCAGACGGAAUUCCUAGUGUAGCGGUGAAAUGCGGAGAUAUUAGGAGGAACACCAGUGGCGAAGGCGGUCUGCUGGACAGCAACUGACGGUGAGGCGCGAAAGCGUGGGGAGCAAACAGGAUUAGAUACCCGAGUAGUC
This 442-nucleotide ribosomal RNA is filed under the name uncultured bacterium. Its description in RNAcentral is "partial 16S ribosomal RNA". It matches the Rfam family "Bacterial small subunit ribosomal RNA", at positions 338 to 795 of the family's 1533-position model. The record is from RNAcentral.